AUUACCGAGUUAUUCAACUCAUCAACCCUGUGAACAUACCUAAACGUUGCUUCGGCGGGAAUAGACGGCCCCGUGAAAACGGGCCGCCCCCGCCAGAGGACCCUUAACUCUGUUUCUAUAAUGUUUCUUCUGAGUAAAACAAGCAAAUAAAUUAAAACUUUCAACAACGGAUCUCUUGGCUCUGGCAUCGAUGAAGAACGCAGCGAAAUGCGAUAAGUAAUGUGAAUUGCAGAAUUCAGUGAAUCAUCGAAUCUUUGAACGCACAUUGCGCCCGCCAGUAUUCUGGCGGGCAUGCCUGUUCGAGCGUCAUUACAACCCUCAGGCCCCCGGGCCUGGCGUUGGGGAUCGGCGGAGCCUCUCUGCGGGCACACGCCGUCCCCCAAAUACAGUGGCGGUCCCGCCGCAGCUUCCAUCGCGUAGUAGCUAACACCUCGCGACUUGGGGAGCGGCGCGGCCACGCCGUAAAACACCCAACUCUUCUGAAGUUGACCUCGAAU
Molecule: ribosomal RNA, 497 nt
Filed under: fungal endophyte
Lineage: Eukaryota; Fungi
Description: eukaryotic LSU rRNA
Rfam family: 5.8S ribosomal RNA (bases 156-309)
Source: RNAcentral